Lemur catta (Ring-tailed lemur) is the source of this 64-nucleotide small nuclear RNA. RefSeq annotates it as U7 small nuclear RNA. The transcript has a single exon. NCBI's taxonomy places the organism in Eukaryota, Metazoa, Chordata, Mammalia, Primates, Lemuridae. The record is from RefSeq and is a predicted model, not a curated record.
AAGUGUUGCAGCUCCUUCAGAAUUUGUCUAGCAGGUUUUCUAGUAACAACUGGAAAAUGUCCCA